GCGAGAGUGGCGGAAUGGCAGACGCGCCGGACUUAGGAUCCGGUGCCGUAAGGCAUAGGGGUUCGAGUCCCCUCAUUCGCACCA
Molecule: transfer RNA, 84 nt
Filed under: Synergistaceae bacterium
Lineage: Bacteria; Thermotogati; Synergistota; Synergistia; Synergistales; Synergistaceae
Description: tRNA-Leu
Rfam family: tRNA
About the family: Transfer RNA (tRNA) molecules are approximately 80 nucleotides in length. Their secondary structure includes four short double-helical elements and three loops (D, anti-codon, and T loops).
Source: RNAcentral